AGCAGCCGCGGUAAUUCCAGCUCCAAUAGCGUAUAUUAAAGUUGUUGCAGUUAAAAAGCUCGUAGUUGAAUUUCGGGAUCAAUACGUCGGUCGUGCUUCGGUACGUACUAACGAUAUUGAUUUCUCCCUUCUGACGAACCGUGAUGUCAUUAAUUUGGUGUUACGGGGAGUCAGGACUGUUACUUUGAAAAAAUUAGAGUGUUUAAAGCAAGCAAUCGCUCGAAUACAUUAGCAUGGAAUAAUGAAAUAGGACGUUCGAACCUAUUUUGUUGGUUUCUAGGAUCGACGUAAUGAUUAAUAGGGAUAGUUGGGGGCAUUAGUAUUCAAUUGUCAGAGGUGAAAUUCUUGGAUUUAUUGAAGACUAACUACUGCGAAAGCAUUUGCCAAGGAUGUUUUCAUUAAUCAAGAACGAAAGUUAGGGGAUCGAAGACGAUCAGAUACCGUCGUAGUCUUAACCAUAAACUAUGCCGACUAGGGAUCGGAUGAUGUUAAUUUUUUAAUGACUCAUUCGGCGCCUUAC
Molecule: ribosomal RNA, 520 nt
Filed under: uncultured Glomus
Lineage: Eukaryota; Fungi; Glomeromycota; Glomeromycetes; Glomerales; Glomeraceae
Description: SSU rRNA
Rfam family: Eukaryotic small subunit ribosomal RNA
Source: RNAcentral